CAGUAGCCACGGGAACACGUAGGGUGCGAGCGUUAAUCGGAAUUACUGGGCGAAAAGCGUGCGCAGGCGGUUUUGUAAGACAGGCGUGAAAUCCCCGGGCUCAACCUGGGAAUGGCGCUUGUGACUGCAAAGCUAGAGUGCGGCAGAGGGGGAUGGAAUUCCGCGUGUAGCAGUGAAAUGCGUAGAUAUGCGGAGGAACACCGAUGGCAAGGCAAUCCCCUGGGCCUGCACUGACGCUCAUGCACGAAAGCGUGGGGAGCAAACAGGAUUAGAUACCCCAGUAGUCCCUGUCUCUUAUACA
This 301-nucleotide ribosomal RNA is filed under the name uncultured bacterium. Its description in RNAcentral is "partial 16S ribosomal RNA". It matches the Rfam family "Bacterial small subunit ribosomal RNA", at positions 509 to 808 of the family's 1533-position model. The record is from RNAcentral.